UAGUGUUGGUCUCACUGAGGUCAAGGUCGAUUCAUUUUGGAGGAACUUCUUGAUGACUUUUUAAGAAUUCCUCAAAUUUUAUCGAGGAGAACUCGUGUCUCAUCAGUACUACUACUGCACUUUAAAUUUUAUCGAGGUGACCUCAUGUCCCAUCAACAAUCUUGACCAUACUGCACCUCGAAAACCAUCGAGGUGACUUGGUGCCU
RNAcentral lists this long non-coding RNA (206 nucleotides) under Elaeis guineensis (African oil palm). RNAcentral's name for it is "long non-coding RNA (EGUI_LNC072491)". The record is from RNAcentral. Lineage: Eukaryota; Viridiplantae; Streptophyta; Magnoliopsida; Arecales; Arecaceae.